UCCCAGCUGGCGCAGCUGGUAAAGAGAAUCUGCCUGCCAGUGCAGGAGACCCAGGUUCGAUCCCUGGGUCGGGAA
Molecule: transfer RNA, 75 nt
Filed under: Bos taurus (domestic cattle)
Lineage: Eukaryota; Metazoa; Chordata; Mammalia; Artiodactyla; Bovidae
Also listed under: 2 other names
Rfam family: tRNA
About the family: Transfer RNA (tRNA) molecules are approximately 80 nucleotides in length. Their secondary structure includes four short double-helical elements and three loops (D, anti-codon, and T loops). Further hydrogen bonds mediate the characteristic L-shaped molecular structure. tRNAs have two regions of fundamental functional importance: the anti-codon, which is responsible for specific mRNA codon recognition, and the 3' end, to which the tRNAs corresponding amino acid is attached (by aminoacyl-tRNA synthetases). tRNAs cope with the degeneracy of the genetic code in two manners: having more than one tRNA (with a specific anti-codon) for a particular amino acid; and 'wobble' base-pairing, i.e. permitting non-standard base-pairing at the 3rd anti-codon position.
Source: Rfam by way of RNAcentral